Nilaparvata lugens (brown planthopper) is the source of this 336-nucleotide long non-coding RNA. RefSeq lists it as uncharacterized. The record is from RefSeq and is a predicted model, not a curated record. NCBI's taxonomy places the organism in Eukaryota, Metazoa, Arthropoda, Insecta, Hemiptera, Delphacidae. The transcript is spliced from 3 exons.
GUUAUUUUGCAAAUCUUGGCUCCUGGCUGGUCGUGCAAUCUAAUAUUAUUAUAGUUUGAUAGUUUAUUUUAUUUUAGCACAAUAUUCAUUGGAUAAAAAAUACUAGAAUAGAGUCAGAAAUCAAGGAAGAAAUUGAAGCAUUCCUGAAUGCUCCAAUGGAUGUUGGCAGAAGCGCCCAUGAAUUAUCCUUGAAGGAUGAAUUAGACUAUGAGAAUCAGUCAAAAUUGUCCACAUGGACCAGAGAACAGACAGCCAAUCACCAGUUUCAGAGCACAAUUCAUUGAGUGGAGAAUCAGAUUCCAGGUUGACUAAGGCCAUUGAUAAAGAAGUGUGUGG